CUACGGGGGGCUGUAGUGAGGAAUAUUGCACAAUGGGGGGAACCCUGAUGCAGCAACGCCGCGUGGAGGAUGACGCAUUUCGGUGUGUAAACUCCUUUUAUAUGUCAAGAAAAUGACGGUAGCAUAUGAAUAAGCACCGGCUAACUCCGUGCCAGCAGCCGCGGUAAUAGGAGGGUGCAAGCGUUACUCGGAAUCACUGGGCGUAAAGGACGCGUAGGCGGGUUGGAAAGUCAGGUGUGAAAUCCUACAGCUUAACUGUAGAACUGCACUUGAAACUUCUAAUCUAGAGUAUGGGAGGGGGAGAUGGAAUUAGCGGUGUAGGGGUAAAAUCCGUAGAUAUCACUAGGAAUACCUAAAGCGAAGGCGAUCUCCUGGAACAUUACUGACGCUAAGGCGUGAAAGCGUGGGGAGCAAACAGGAUUAGAUACCCCCGUAGUC
RNAcentral lists this ribosomal RNA (438 nucleotides) under uncultured bacterium. RNAcentral describes it as "partial 16S ribosomal RNA". It matches the Rfam family "Bacterial small subunit ribosomal RNA", at positions 339 to 795 of the family's 1533-position model. The record is from RNAcentral.